RNAcentral lists this unclassified non-coding RNA (21 nucleotides) under synthetic construct. The record is from RNAcentral.
ACAAAGUCUAAUAUUAUCACU